AGAGUUUGAUCCUGGCUCAGAUUGAACGCUGGCGGAAUGCUUUACACAUGCAAGUCGAACGGCAGCACGGGUGCUUGCACCUGGUGGCGAGUGGCGAACGGGUGAGUAAUGCGUCGGAACGUACCGAGUAAUGGGGGAUAACGCAGCGAAAGUUGUGCUAAUACCGCAUACGCCCUCCGGGGGAAAGCAGGGGAUCUUCGGACCUUGCGUUAUUCGAGCGGCCGACGUCUGAUUAGCUAGUUGGUGGGGUAAAGGCCUACCAAGGCGACGAUCAGUAGCGGGUCUGAGAGGAUGAUCCGCCACACUGGAACUGAGACACGGUCCAGACUCCUACGGGAGGCAGCAGUGGGGAAUUUUGGACAAUGGGGGCAACCCUGAUCCAGCCAUUCCGCGUGAGUGAAGAAGGCCUUCGGGUUGUAAAGCUCUUUCAGCAGGAACGAAACGGUACGCUCUAACACAGUGUGCUAAUGACGGUACCUGCAGAAGAAGCACCGGCUAACUACGUGCCAGCAGCCGCGGUAAUACGUAGGGUGCGAGCGUUAAUCGGAAUUACUGGGCGUAAAGCGUGCGCAGGCGGAUUGUUAAGCAAGACGUGAAAUCCCCGGGCUUAACCUGGGAGUGGCGUUUUGAACUGGCAGUCUAGAGUGUGUCAGAGGGGGGUAGAAUUCCACGUGUAGCAGUGAAAUGCGUAGAGAUGUGGAGGAAUACCGAUGGCGAAGGCAGCCCCCUGGGAUAACACUGACGCUCAUGUACGAAAGCGUGGGUAGCAAACAGGAUUAGAUACCCUGGUAGUCC
RNAcentral lists this ribosomal RNA (795 nucleotides) under uncultured bacterium. RNAcentral describes it as "bacterial SSU rRNA". It matches the Rfam family "Bacterial small subunit ribosomal RNA", at positions 8 to 796 of the family's 1533-position model. The record is from RNAcentral.